Molecule: ribosomal RNA, 323 nt
Filed under: Elusimicrobiaceae bacterium
Lineage: Bacteria; Pseudomonadati; Elusimicrobiota; Elusimicrobia; Elusimicrobiales; Elusimicrobiaceae
Description: partial 23S ribosomal RNA
Rfam family: Bacterial large subunit ribosomal RNA
Source: RNAcentral
CUGGGUUCAGUACGUCGUGAGACAGUACGGUCUCUAUCUGUUGUGUGCGUAGGUAACUUGAGAGGAGUUGUCCAUAGUACGAGAGGGCCUGGAUGAACGAACCUCCUGUAUAUCAGUUGUUCUGUCAAGAGCAUAGCUGAUUAGCGGUGUUCGGUAGGGAUAAGUGCUGAAAGCAUAUAAGCACGAAACCCGCCUCAAGAUAAGGUUACCCUGGAAUUAUUUCCCAUAAGAUCCCCGGAAGACCACCGGGUUGAUAGGCAGGAAAUGUAAGCAUAGUAAUAUGUUCAGUUAACCUGUACUAAUAGAUCGUGAGGCUUGGCCGU